GCCAUGAUAGCUCAGUUAGGAGAGCGCAUGACUGAAGAUCAUGAGGUCCCGUGAGCGAAACACGGUCGUGGCA
This is a non-coding RNA of Ditylenchus destructor, 73 nucleotides long. The record is from the annotation of a GenBank genome assembly. NCBI's taxonomy places the organism in Eukaryota, Metazoa, Nematoda, Chromadorea, Rhabditida, Anguinidae.